AGAGGAGCUGGUGUCCACAGGGGACAGGAAGCCGGUGCUGGCUAGGGGCGGGGGCGUCAGGCUGGUCCGUGUGAUGCCCAGGAUCUCUUUAGAAAUGUCCCAUCAGACCUGAAGCCUGUGGGUCCAGAAGACACAUUUGAUCGGAUCCAACCUUUGGAAGAUCUGCUUGGAAAUUUCCCACUUCGUGUCCUGAGUCCAGGAACCCAGCAGUGGAAUUUUGUAGUGAGUGGUCCUUUCUUCCACCUGAGGCUCUAUCCCCUGUAUCCAGUCAUUCUCUCAUUGUUUAAGGGUCUAUUCAAGACAAGUUUAUCAGAGCCAACUGCACAUCAGCUAGUUGGGAAAGCCAGAACGGUGACCAAAGCCAAUGAUAUCUGUACCCUCAUGGAAAUAGCGGUGUCAUGGAGGUCAUGGCAGUGCAGAGGUCCUGAGGCAAGAAAGAGUUUGAUGUGUGAAAAGGGCAUGUCUGGACACAUGGGGAAGAGGUGGAGAGGAGUAACUCUUUCAGGACCUCAGAGGUUGUGUUAAAAUAUGGAUUUUAAGUCUUAAGUGCAAUAGCUACCAGUAAUGACCAGUUUUAUGUAGGAAAAUGACAUGUGAUCAAAAUUUGCCUCCUAAAAACAUCACUCCAAUUUCUGAGUGGAGACAGGUGUGGGAGCAAGGAGAGUUAGGAGGCCACCGUGUAGUCUAAUGGGAGGUCAUGGUGGCUUGGAUCAGGGUAUUAGUGGUAGAUAUGAAGGCCAUUGGGGAGAUACUAGAUGAACUUGGGCAGUAGUACCUGCCAGUUGUGAUGGAUCAGAGUGGAGGAGGGGUGAGAAGGGUCUUAAGCAUGACUCUCCAGAUCUUGGCAUGGACAACAUAAUGGAGAGGGAAGUGCCAUUUCCUAUGAUGAGACAGGUUGCAAGAGAAUUAGAUUUGUGGGGAAGAUUCAGCUUCAAUUUGGGACUGAAAUUCUUUUUUGAGUUUGAGUAACACCUAAACACAGGGGGCUGGGGGAGGAAAUCAGCAGUUAGAUGGCCAGGUCUAGAAUUCAGGAGAGAAAUAUGGGCUAGCUCGAUCAUUCCUUUAUUCCUUCAUGGUGUUCAGUUUGAGGGUUCCUGGAUGGAGGCUUGGUCUGAACCCAGGGCAGUAAUUCAUACAGGGUGAUUACGAGAUGAUUUGAGGGGCUAGGAAUAAUAGCUACUUAUUUCUGCCAAAGGUUUGCAUGAGGCAAGUGCCUGGAUGGGUGCUCAUUGCUAUGGUUGUUAGUCAAGCAUCUUGAGCAUGAAGUGGAAGGUGGACUGCUGAACCUUUGGUGCUCCUGCCUGGGCUUGGCGUUGGGAGUUGUCCCUGAUAGAAACAAAGGGGUCGGAAUUUUAGACUCCAGUAAACAUGAUGGUGAGGGUAGCAGUGAUGAUGGAGGUGGCGAUGGUGGAUAUGGUAGAGUUAGAGGGGAUGGUGAUGACGGUUUUGGUGAUGGUGGUGAUGAUGGUGAUGAUGGUGGUGGUGGUGGUGAUGAUGGUGUUGGUGAUGAUGGUAUUGGCAAUGGUGAUGGCGGUACUGAUGAGAGAGGUGGUGGUGGUGAUGAUGAUGGUGGUGGUCAUGGUGGUGGUGGUGGUGGUGGUGAUAUUGAUGAUGGUGUGGGUGAUGGUGAUGAUGGGGUGGUGGUGAUGGUGGUGGUGGGAAUGGGCCCAGCUAGUAUGUGUUCUUUAAACUUAAAUUCACACCCAGUCCUGUGAUUUCUAUUUUAUGUGUUCAUUUUCCAUGCCAGGAGGUAGAAAAAGUGUAUAUGAAACUUAGCUGUUUAAGAUACAGGAUUUACACUAACCGUCCAUUUCCCAUCACUGUAGAGCCCAAUUCCCCUCAUCAUUUAAUUAGUAAAGGCAGGGUCCUUGGAGGUGGGGAAAUGCGUGGAUAAUGUUCCAAACCCUUAAUCUUUCAUCCUCAGCAGUCUCAUAGUAUGCAUUUCUUCAGUGGAUAUCAAGUAUAAGUAUUUAUUUGCCUGCCUUCCACAGACAAAUUGUGUCAUUAAGAACACUAUCAAAGAGGAUAUGUCUCCAUUGAGUGAUGUGGGUUAUUAUUUGUGUAUAAUUUUUUUGAGUUCAUUUAUUCUACAUGGCCUAGAGGACCCAGAACUUGCUCUGUUCUCUUAGACGUAACAAGAGGUUAUUUCGGGAGCUGAUUACUUGAUUUUUUAAAAAAAUUUUGGUCGUCCUGGGGUUGAAAGCUACAGAGAGGGGUGAUAUGCAUGUGUGCAACUCUAUCCUAUAUUUGGAAUGGGCUGAUCUUUUUUUUUUUUGAUAGAUUGUUGGCUGCUUGGAAUCGCAGAUGCAUCAUUAAGCUAUUGCAUUUAAAUUUAGCUCUUGUUCUCACUUUGGAAGGGAAUGGAAUGUUUCAAUUAUUUCACCACGAAGGGGAAGUGAUUAGAAAAUAGAUCCUCAUGACUUCUCAAAAAUAAGAGGUCUAGCCAGUGAGUCUCAGAGGGGGCUGCAUAUUUGACUCAGAAGAGGAGGCUCUUGAGUGGACCUUCAGUGUGGAGGAAAUUAAAAUUGCCUUAAGCAGGAGUUCCUGCUCUGGCACAGUGGGUUAAGGAUCUGACUGUAGAGGCUCAGGUUGCUUUGGGGGGAGGUGUGGGUUUUGAUCCCUGUCCCAGUGCAGUGGGUUAAUAAGGACCUUGUGUUGCCACAGCUGUGGCACAGGUCACAGCUGUGGCUUGGAUUCAGUCCCUGGCUUAGGAACUUUCAUAUGCUGCCACUGCUGUGGCCAUUAAAAAAUAAAUAAAUAAAUAAAUAAAAAAUAAAAUUGCCUGAAACACACCUUGGUGAUCACUAAGGUUUAAGCUCCCCAAGGGCAGCGUAUAUGUAAGCCAGCCAAGAUCAUUAUUCUUAAUAGGAUUGUGUCCACUCUUUUAAAUAGGGGCCAGGGCCCCUCUGUGUAAACAAAACAUUAAAAUGUCUAUUCCUAGACCCAAGUUGAAGAAAUGUCACCCACAACACUUUCACAGGGUUGAAUAUGUGAAUAUGUGGAAACAUCUUUAAAAUCAUUUUCCUUUGUCAGAUUUCAGGGGCAGCAGAUGCCCCUUGAAGUCAUAUCUUAGGUGUAUAAAGAAUGAAAAUCAUAAGUGACUAGACAUAGUUCCAAGUGCUACAUCCUGUAUAACUUUCCCAUCCUUGAUCCCCAUCAAUAAUCACAGCUCUCCGUUGGAUGUUUCCUUUCAGGAUUUUCGGACCCUCUUCCAUGUGUAAAAAAUAUAUACACAAACAUAUACAGAUGCCUAUGCAUAUACAGUAGGAUGAGUAGGCAUUCCCACUGUGGCACAAUGGGAUGGAUGGUGUUUCUGGAGUGCUGGGACACAGGUUCAAUCCCCAGCCCGGCACAGUGGGUUAAAGAUCUGGUGUUGUCAAAGCUGCAGUGUAGCUCACAACUGUGGCUCGGAUCUGAUCCCUGGCCCAGGAAUUCCAUAUGCCAUGGGGUGGCCAAAAAAAGGGUGUGUGUGUGUGUGUGUGAGAGAGAGAGAGAAAGAGAGAGAGAGAGAGUUAUGUCUAACAGCCUGACUUUGUACAUAAUAGCUGCUCAGUCAAUAUUUGCUGAAACCGGAGAUGGUUGACCCUGCAAGGAAAUGGACCCAUUGGUCCAUUGGCACUUUGACCGCAACAUCUGUUUUUCACUCCCCCUCUUAGAUAAGUUGUAUUGUUCCUGCCUCCUGGGGUUGGCCCCAAAGAACUAAGUACUCAAUUCCAUGAGCUCUUGGAACACAGAUUGCAUCCAACUCUGCAUACAGUUGGAGAGAGGGAAAUUUUGUCUUCUCUGCCUCUGUGGAGGAUUUUGUGACUGUCAGCCUGGGGAAGGCAUAGCCAAAAUCUAUUGACCAACCCAGUAUUUCCAGAGUGUUCUACAGGGAACCAAAUAGACAUCUAUGGUCAACAAAGCCUGGAUACAGUAAUGUAGUUACUAGAAAAAAAUUCUUUAUUAAAAAAUUAUAACUAGCACAGUAAUACAUGGUUUCAUAGUAGUAAUACAAAGUUUCUCUUUUUUCAAGAAAUAAAUCUUGGAGUUCCCAUUGUGGCUCAAUGGGUUUAGAACCUGACAGAAGUGUCUGUGAGGAUGCGGGUUUGAUCCCUUGCCUCCCUCAGGGCAUUAAGGAUCAGGCAGUGCCACAACCUGCGGUGUGGGUCUCAUAUGUGGUCAGAUUUGGUGUGGCUAUGGCUGUGACAUAGGCCUGUGGCUGCAGCUCCUAUUUGACCCCUUGCAUGGGAACUUCCACAUGCUGCAGGUGCAGUCCUCAAAAGAAAAAAAAUUUAUUUUAUUUUUAAUGAUAAAAUACAUUUCACCUUUACUAGUUUAUUUCCUGGUCAACCAACACAUUUUUUUCCUAUUUCAUUUUUCAAAAUGUUAUUGAAGUAGAGUUGAUUUACAAUGUUGUAGUAAUUUCUGCUGUACAGCAAAGUGAUUCAGUUAUGCAUGUACACUCAUCCAUUCUCUUUCAGAUUCUCUCCCUAUGUAGAUCAAGACAUUUUCAAUUUGUUUCAUUAUAUAAGUUUCAGGGGCACAGCAUUAUAAUUUGGCAUCUGUAUGCACGACAGAUUCCACCAUGAGUCUAGUUACGGUCCUUCAUCAUAUGCUUUGACCCUUCACCUUCCCCCCAACCUCAUUCCCCUUUGGUAACUCCUAAUCUGAUCACUGUAUGUAUGAGUUUAUUUUUGUUUUAUUUGUUUUGUCUUUAGAUUCCAUGUAUGAGCGAAAUCAUAUGGUAUUUGUCUUUCUCCAUCUGACUUAUUUCACUUAGCAUAAUGCCCCCAAGGUCUAUCCAUGUCGUCAAAAAUGGCAGGAUUUUGUUCCUUUUUUAUGGCUGAGUAGUAUUCUAUGUAUAUAUACAUACACUGCUAUCUUAAUCUAUUCAUCUGUUGACAGACACUUAGGUUGUUUCCAUAUCUUGGCUAUUGUGAAGAGUGCUGCUAUGGGAGUUCCCAUCGUGGCUCAGCGGAAACGAAUGUGACUAGCAUCUAUGAGGAGGCAGGUUUGAUCCCUGGCCUUGCUCAGUGGGCUAAGGAUCUGGCAUUGCCAUGAGCUAUGGUGUAGGUUGCAGAUAUGGCUCAGAUCUGGCAUUGCUGUGGCUGUGGUGUAGGCCAGAGGCUACAGCUCUAAUUCAGUCCCUAGCCUGGGAACCUCCAUAUGCCAUGGGUGCCGCCCUAAAAAAAAAAAAAAGGAGAGAGUGCUGCUGUGAGCAUUUGGGGAGCAUGUUGUCUUUUUAGAUUACUGUUUUUGUGUUCUUUGGAGAAAUACCUAGAAGUGGAAUAGCUGGAUCACAGGAUAGUUCUAUUCUUAAUUUUUUGAGGAGCCUCCAUACUGUUUUCCAUAGUGGCUGCACCAGUUUACAUUCCCACCAACAAUGGUUCCCUUUUCUCUACAUUCUCUCCAACAUUUGUUAUUUCUGGUCUCUUUGAUGAUAGCCAUUUGGACAGGCAUGAAACUGGACAGCCACAGGCAAAUAAUGAAACUAGGAGUUCCCGUUGUGGCUCAGAAGGUCAAUGUUGUCUCUGUGAAGAUUUGGGUUCAAUACCUGGUCUAGCUCAGUGGCUUAAGGAUCCGGCAUUGCCACAAGCUGAAGCAUAGGUUGCAGAUGUGGCUUGGACUUGAUGUUGCUGUGGCUGUGGCAUAGGCCAGCAGCUGCAGCUCUGAUUCGACCCCUGGCCUGGUAACUUCCAUAAACUGCAGGUGCAGCUGUAGAAAAAAAAAAAAAAAAAAAAAAAA
This 5727-nucleotide long non-coding RNA is filed under the name Sus scrofa (pig). RNAcentral's name for it is "lncRNA (ENSSSCG00035025201.1)". Lineage: Eukaryota; Metazoa; Chordata; Mammalia; Artiodactyla; Suidae. The record is from RNAcentral.